Molecule: long non-coding RNA, 1212 nt
Filed under: Carica papaya (papaya)
Lineage: Eukaryota; Viridiplantae; Streptophyta; Magnoliopsida; Brassicales; Caricaceae
Description: long non-coding RNA (CPAP_LNC012612)
Source: RNAcentral
CAGCAUCCGGUUUCUGCAAUUUCCAGAAAGAAAGAUCAAAUUGUUAGUGCAGUUAGCCAGUUGCAUUUGUUUCUCAUACUUAUUGUUGUAUUUCCUCUGUGGACCAAUUAUUGACAUACUCCUAUAUAUAUCUAUGUAGUCUCUGAAGGUAACAAGCAGACAAGGAAGAACACUAACCGGUUCGGAUGAAAUCUUUAGAAACUAAUGUGUCGCACCUGUUAGGUAUAUCUUACACUCUCAGCUUUAUACCAUUAUAAGCGAAGUGAUCAUUUUAGAAUGAAUAUAGCACUUUGUUUAGAAGCAUUUACAUAAACAUGUAUUGUUUGAAGAUAGAAACCCAAUAGAGUUCAGAAAUGAAAAGAAACUUGAGCAAAAAAUGGUAAUAUAAAAAAUUCAUCAUUCUACCAUUGGGUUGGUACGAUUUGCACUAGGCAUUUUGAUUGUGUUAAUAUGUUCCCUGCAUUAUAAGUUUUAUAUCAGUUUAACCCUUCUGUUAAUGAGAAUUACUUAUUGAAACAGAGAACAUGAGUAUAUGGCCUAAAAUAUUUCUUUUGCUUUAAUUCAACUUUGGUCUAAUCUCUCUGUUCUCAAACUCUAUCUUCAUUUCAUCUCAGUUUGUGCAACAGGAAUCUCUAGACCAAAUGAAGCAGACACGAAUUGAAACAGCCUCCAUGUCUCUCUUUAUCUUCUUCCUUUCUUUCUUCAUUUAAAUCUAUUUUAUUUUCCUUUUUUUUCCCCUCAUUCUCGCACCUGUAUUCUGACACAUCUCCUUUUUCCCCUUCUUUUUCUUUCUCCUUUUCUUCAUCACCAACAGCAACACCAUCAGAUCUAUCGCUGAUCUCUCUCUCCCCUCACAAGCCCCCCUCCACAAAACCCUCCUCUAAGACUCUUUCCUCAAAACGGACUCGGUCACUCUCUCCGUCAACUCAUCCAUUAAAAAAAAAAAAAACCACAUGUAAAAACCUCAGGUCAACGAAAUUUGGGUUAGGAAAAAGUGUGAGCUGGGGGGAAACCUCAGGUCAUUUUUCUGGCAUAUUCGGGUUUAACGUGGGUGCAUUUUUGUGAGUUGACUCACGUGCUCUGCACAUAUGUUAGUUUUAAGGUUUUGUACUUUUAAAUUUAUAUUUUGAUUUAUGGGGAAUGUCAUGUCUAAAUUAACUAAAAAUAAAUUAACGGACUGGUUAAUUUGAUAUAAAUACAAUAAUAUAAGAG